GCCAGGUGUGGUGGUGCACACCUGUAGUCUCACCUACUUGGGAGGCUGAGGCAGGAGAAUCGCUUGAACCCAGGAGGCUGAGGUUGUGAUGAGCCAAAAAUCACACCAUUGCACUCCAGCCUGGGUGACAAAGCAAGACUCUGCCUCAA
RNAcentral lists this non-coding RNA (149 nucleotides) under Homo sapiens (human). Lineage: Eukaryota; Metazoa; Chordata; Mammalia; Primates; Hominidae. The record is from Rfam by way of RNAcentral.